UACGAAGGGGGCUAGCGUUGCUCGGAAUUACUGGGCGUAAAGCGCACGUAGGCGGCUUUCUAAGUCGGGGGUGAAAUCCUGGAGCUCAACUCCAGAACUGCCUUCGAUACUGGAGAGCUUGAGUCCGGGAGAGGUGAGUGGAACUGCGAGUGUAGAGGUGAAAUUCGUAGAUAUUCGCAAGAACACCAGUGGCGAAGGCGGCUCACUGGCCCGGUACUGACGCCGAGGUGCGAAAGCGUGGGGAGCAAACAGG
Molecule: ribosomal RNA, 253 nt
Filed under: uncultured bacterium
Lineage: Bacteria
Description: partial 16S ribosomal RNA
Rfam family: Bacterial small subunit ribosomal RNA
Source: RNAcentral